Molecule: ribosomal RNA, 253 nt
Filed under: uncultured bacterium
Lineage: Bacteria
Description: partial 16S ribosomal RNA
Rfam family: Bacterial small subunit ribosomal RNA
Source: RNAcentral
UACGUAGGGACCAAGCGUUGUUCGGAUUUACUGGGCGUAAAGGGCGCGUAGGCGGCUUAACAAGUCACUUGUGAAAUCUUCGGGCCUAACUCGGAACGGCCAAGUGAAACUGUCAAGCUAGAGUGCAGAAGGGGCAAUCGGAAUUCUUGGUGUAGCGGUGAAAUGCGUAGAUAUCAAGAGGAACACCUGAGGUGAAGACGGGUUGCUGGGCUGACACUGACGCUGAGGCGCGAAAGCCAGGGGAGCAAACGGG